AUUGAACGCUGGCGGCAGGCCUAACACAUGCAAGUCGAGCGGAUGAAGGGAGCUUGCUCCUGGAUUCAGCGGCGGACGGGUGAGUAAUGCCUAGGAAUCUGCCUGGUAGUGGGGGAUAACGUCCGGAAACGGGCGCUAAUACCGCAUACGUCCUGAGGGAGAAAGUGGGGGAUCUUCGGACCUCACGCUAUCAGAUGAGCCUAGGUCGGAUUGGCUAGUUGGUGGGGUAAAGGCCUACCAAGGCGACGAUCCGUAACUGGUCUGAGAGGAUGAUCAGUCACACUGGAACUGAGACACGGUCCAGACUCCUACGGGAGGCAGCAGUGGGGAAUAUUGGACAAAGGGCGAAAGCCUGAUCCAGCCAUGCCGCGUGUGUGAAGAAGGUCUUCGGAUUGUAAAGCACUUUAAGUUGGGAGGAAGGGCAGUAAGUUAAUACCUUGCUGUUUUGACGUUACCAACAGAAUAAGCACCGGCUAACUUCGUG
This 484-nucleotide ribosomal RNA is filed under the name uncultured bacterium. Its description in RNAcentral is "partial 16S ribosomal RNA". It matches the Rfam family "Bacterial small subunit ribosomal RNA", at positions 30 to 507 of the family's 1533-position model. The record is from RNAcentral.